RNAcentral lists this transfer RNA (72 nucleotides) under bacterium. RNAcentral describes it as "tRNA-Arg". It matches the Rfam family "tRNA". Rfam says of the family: Transfer RNA (tRNA) molecules are approximately 80 nucleotides in length. Their secondary structure includes four short double-helical elements and three loops (D, anti-codon, and T loops). The record is from RNAcentral.
GCCUCCUUAGCUCAAUGGAUCGAGCAGCGCUCUUCUAAGGCGUUGAUGUAGGUUCGAUUCCUACAGGGGGCG